GACGUAGGAGGCGAGCGUUGUCCGGAUUCAUUGGGCGUAAAGAGCGCGCAGGCGGCUUGGUAAGUCGGAUGUGAAAUCCCGAGGCUCAACCUCGGGUCUGCAUCCGAUACUGCCCGGCUAGAGGUAGGUAGGGGAGAUCGGAAUUCCUGGUGUAGCGGUGAAAUGCGCAGAUAUCGGGAGGAACACCUGUGGCGAAAGCGGCUCUCUGGACCACAACUGACGCUGAGGCGCGAAAGCUAGGGGAGCAAACAGG
RNAcentral lists this ribosomal RNA (253 nucleotides) under uncultured bacterium. Its description in RNAcentral is "partial 16S ribosomal RNA". It matches the Rfam family "Bacterial small subunit ribosomal RNA", at positions 524 to 776 of the family's 1533-position model. The record is from RNAcentral.